Molecule: long non-coding RNA, 518 nt
Filed under: Cricetulus griseus (Chinese hamster)
Lineage: Eukaryota; Metazoa; Chordata; Mammalia; Rodentia; Cricetidae
Description: lncRNA (ENSCGRG00015032222.1)
Source: RNAcentral
GGACACCCAGACCAGUUCUUGUUUUGCUUCUCUAGAAAUGCAAAAUGUUGAAAAACUUUGAAGGCCAAUGUGUUCUUCCGAAGGCAGUCCGAUGCUCUCCCACUAGGCAGGCAGGACACAGAGGCCUGAAGCGCCAUGUGGUUGGACAAGGCCAGCUGAGCCAGAAGGCCACAGGAAGAUUAAGAGAAGCAAGGCCCCCAAGGGCUUGAGGGCUCAGGUUGGAGGCUGGGAAGUGAGACCUAGCUGUCUUCAUCCUCCUAGUCCUCAUCCUCAUCCUCUGGGAAGUGAGCUUACUUCUUUGGAACAUUCCAGUGCAGACACUGGGUCAGGUUCUCAAUACAGACCUUCACGGAGUGCAAACACAGAAAGAGGACAGCUGGUAUCAGGAGGUUGUGAUGCUGAUGCUGUCUCCAUGGCACAUUUCCUGCCUCUUCUGUCCAUCUAAAGACAGCCGUGCAGUGUGACAGCAUAGUCUUCAGCUAGACCACUGCGGGGAUCUCCAUCUGACAGAAUGAGAG